GACGAACGCUGGCGGCGUGCUUAACACAUGCAAGUCGAACGGAAAGGCCCUGCUUUUGCGGGGUGCUCGAGUGGCGAACGGGUGAGUAACACGUGAGUAACCUGCCCUUGACUUUGGGAUAACUUCAGGAAACUGGGGCUAAUACCGGAUAGGAGCUCCUGCUGCAUGGUGGGGGUUGGAAAGUUUCGGCGGUUGGGGAUGGACUCGCGGCUUAUCAGCUUGUUGGUGGGGUAGUGGCUUACCAAGGCUUUGACGGGUAGCCGGCCUGAGAGGGUGACCGGCCACAUUGGGACUGAGAGACGGCCCAGACUCCUACGGGAGGCAGCAGUGGGGAAUAUUGCACAAUGGGCGGAAGCCUGAUGCAGCAACGCCGCGUGCGGGAUGACGGCCUUCGGGUUGUAAACCGCUGUCGCCUGUGACGAAGCGUGAGUGACGGUAAUGGGUAAAGAAGCACCGGCUAACUACGUG
This 468-nucleotide ribosomal RNA is filed under the name uncultured bacterium. Its description in RNAcentral is "partial 16S ribosomal RNA". It matches the Rfam family "Bacterial small subunit ribosomal RNA", at positions 28 to 507 of the family's 1533-position model. The record is from RNAcentral.